RNAcentral lists this ribosomal RNA (253 nucleotides) under uncultured bacterium. RNAcentral describes it as "partial 16S ribosomal RNA". It matches the Rfam family "Bacterial small subunit ribosomal RNA", at positions 524 to 776 of the family's 1533-position model. The record is from RNAcentral.
UACAGAGGUCUCAAGCGUUGUUCGGAUUCAUUGGGCGUAAAGGGUGCGUAGGCGGCGAGCUAAGUUUGGUGUGAAAUCCUGGGGCUUAACCUCAGAAUUGCACUGAAUACUGGUUUGCUAGAGGACUGGAGAGGAGAUUGGAAUUCACGGUGUAGCAGUGAAAUGCGUAGAUAUCGUGAGGAAGACCAGUGGCGAAAGCGAAUCUCUGGACAGUUCCUGACGCUGAUGCACGAAGGCUAGGGGAGCAAACGGG